UACAGAGGUGGCAAGCGUUGUUCGGAAUUACUGGGCGUAAAGGGCGCGUAGGCGGUCUGCCAAGUCCCGUGUGAAAGCCCCCGGCUCAACCGGGGAACGGCGCGGGAAACUAGCGGGAUUGAGUUCGGGAGAGGGAAGCGGAAUCCCGGGUGUAGCGGUGAAAUGCGCAGAUAUACGGAGGAACACCGGUGGCGAAGGCGGCUUCCUGGACCGACACUGACGCUGAGGCGCGAAAGCUAGGGGAGCAAACGGG
Molecule: ribosomal RNA, 253 nt
Filed under: uncultured bacterium
Lineage: Bacteria
Description: partial 16S ribosomal RNA
Rfam family: Bacterial small subunit ribosomal RNA
Source: RNAcentral